RNAcentral lists this ribosomal RNA (36 nucleotides) under uncultured Craterellus. RNAcentral describes it as "partial 18S ribosomal RNA". The record is from RNAcentral. Lineage: Eukaryota; Fungi; Basidiomycota; Agaricomycetes; Cantharellales; Hydnaceae.
AGCGUUCGCUGCGUAGAGACCUGCGGAGGAUCAUUC